UACGUAGGUCCCGAGCGUUGUCCGGAUUUAUUGGGCGUAAAGCGAGCGCAGGUGGUUUAUUAAGUCUGAUGUGAAAGCCCACGGCUUAACCGUGGAGGGUCAUUGGAAACUGGUUGACUUGAGUGCAGAAGAGGGAAGUGGAAUUCCAUGUGUAGCGGUGAAAUGCGUAGAGAUAUGGAGGAACACCAGUGGCGAAGGCGGCUUCCUGGUCUGCAACUGACACUGAGGCGCGAAAGCGUGGGGAGCAAACAGG
RNAcentral lists this ribosomal RNA (253 nucleotides) under uncultured bacterium. Its description in RNAcentral is "partial 16S ribosomal RNA". It matches the Rfam family "Bacterial small subunit ribosomal RNA", at positions 524 to 776 of the family's 1533-position model. The record is from RNAcentral.